AUUCUCCUUAAUACCCAUCACCUAUUUAACCCAUUCCCCCCACCUACCACCCCUCUAGCCGCCUUCAGUUUGUUCUCUAUAGUUAAGAGUCUGUUUUUUUUUUUUUUUUUUUUUUUUUUUUUUUUUUUUUUUUUUUUUUUUUUUUUUUUUUUUUUUUUUUUUUUUUUUUUUUUUUUUUUUUUUUUUUUUUUUUUUUUUUUUUUUUUUUUUUUUUUUUUUUUUUUUUUUUUUUUUUUUUUUUUUUUUUUUUUUUUUUUUUUUUUUUUUUUUUUUUUUUUUUUUUUUUUUUUUUUUUUUUUUUUUUUUUUUUUUUUUUUUUUUUUUUUUUUUUUUUUUUUUUUUUUUUUUUUUUUUUUUUUUUUUUUUUUUUUUUUUUUUUUUUUUUUUUUUUUUUUUUUUUUUUUUUUUUUUUUUUUUUUUUUUUUUUUUUUUUUUUUUUUUUUUUUUUUUUUUUUUUUUUUUUUUUUUUUUUUUUUUUUUUUUUUUUUUUUUUUUUUUUUUUUUUUUUUUUUUUUUUUUUUUUUUUUUUUUUUUUUUUUUUUUUUUUUUUUUUUUUUUUUUUUUUUUUUUUUUUUUUUUUUUUUUUUUUUUUUUUUUUUUUUUUUUUUUUUUUUUUUUUUUUUUUUUUUUUUUUUUUUUUUUUUUUUUUUUUUUUUUUUUUUUUUUUUUUUUUUUUUUUUUUUUUUUUUUUUUUUUUUUUUUUUUUUUUUUUUUUUUUUUUUUUUUUUUUUUUUUUUUUUUUUUUUUUUUUUUUUUUUUUUUUUUUUUUUUUUUUUUUUUUUUUUUUUUUUUUUUUUUUUUUUUUUUUUUUUUUUUUUUUUUUUUUUUUUUUUUUUUUUUUUUUUUUUUUUUUUUUUUUUUUUUUUUUUUUUUUUUUUUUUUUUUUUUUUUUUUUUUUUUUUUUUUUUUUUUUUUUUUUUUUUUUUUUUUUUUUUUUUUUUUUUUUUUUUUUUUUUUUUUUUUUUUUUUUUUUUUUUUUUUUUUUUUUUUUUUUUUUUUUUUUUUUUUUUUUUUUUUUUUUUUUUUUUUUUUUUUUUUUUUUUUUUUUUUUUUUUUUUUUUUUUUUUUUUUUUUUUUUUUUUUUUUUUUUUUUUUUUUUUUUUUUUUUUUUUUUUUUUUUUUUUUUUUUUUUUUUUUUCCAUAAGUUGGCUAUUUUUGAUAAUGCUGCCAUAAAUAUCGGGGUGCAUGUAUCCCUUUGACUCAGUAUUUUUGUAUACUUUGGGUAAAUAUCUAGGAUUUCAAU
RNAcentral lists this long non-coding RNA (1243 nucleotides) under Felis catus (domestic cat). Its description in RNAcentral is "lncRNA (ENSFCAG00000048369.1)". Lineage: Eukaryota; Metazoa; Chordata; Mammalia; Carnivora; Felidae. The record is from RNAcentral.